RNAcentral lists this ribosomal RNA (387 nucleotides) under Triticum aestivum (bread wheat). RNAcentral's name for it is "partial small subunit ribosomal RNA". Lineage: Eukaryota; Viridiplantae; Streptophyta; Magnoliopsida; Poales; Poaceae. The record is from RNAcentral.
AUGUCCAUGGAGCAGAGCAGGCGAGGAGGGAGACUAGGUCGCGCUCUCUCUGCCUUUGUCUCGCGUGGGGAGGAGUGGAGGCUGCGGCUCGCACUUCUUCUCCUUUGUGGACUGCAGAAUGGACGGGCGAGACGCUGCUCCUCUUGUCACGCGAGGGUGACAGUCUGGUCCCGUCCAGGUACUCCUCUUUGGCGUAAUGGGACACCAGACAAGCCAGUUCUCUGCAAUGCAUGUGGUUCGAGAUGGAGGAUAAAGGGUACAUUGGUGAAUUACACACCGGCGCAUCGUCGGGAAGAUACUGACGCUGGCGAAGCUGGACCUGACAAGCUGAAGCUCAAUGGACAGAAACAGCCGAAGAAACGACCAAACUGCACUACUGCAGCAUAG